AUUGAACGCUGGCGGCAUGCCUUACACAUGCAAGUCGAACGGCAGCACGGGAGCAAUCCUGGUGGCGAGUGGCGAACGGGUGAGUAAUGUAUCGGAACGUACCUUUCAGUGGGGGAUAACGUAGCGAAAGUUACGCUAAUACCGCAUACGAUCUACGGAUGAAAGCGGGGGACUCGCAAGAGCCUCGCGCGAUUGGAGAACGGCCGAUAUCAGAUUAGGUAGUUGGUGGGGUAAAGGGCUCACCAAGCCAACGAUCUGUAGCUGGUCUGAGAGGACGACCAGCCACACUGGAACUGAGACACGGUCCAGACUCCUACGGGAGGCAGCAGUGGGGAAUUUUGGACAAUGGGGGAAACCCUGAUCCAGCAAUGCCGCGUGAGUGAAGAAGGCCUCGGGUUGUAAAGCUCUUUUGUCUAGGGAAGAAACAACCGGCUCUAACACAGUCCGGGAAUGACGGUACCUGAAGAAUAAGCACCGGCUAACUACGUGCCAGCAGCC
Molecule: ribosomal RNA, 498 nt
Filed under: uncultured bacterium
Lineage: Bacteria
Description: bacterial SSU rRNA
Rfam family: Bacterial small subunit ribosomal RNA
Source: RNAcentral